UACGUAGGGGGCAAGCGUUGUCCGGAAUCAUUGGGCGUAAAGAGCGUGUAGGCGGCCCGGUAAGUCCGCCGUGAAAGUCCAGGGCUCAACCCUGGAAUGCCGGUGGAAACUGCCGGGCUGGAGUCCGGAAGAGGCGAGUGGAAUUCCUGGUGUAGCGGUGAAAUGCGCAGAUAUCAGGAGGAACACCAAUGGCGAAGGCAGCCCGCUGGGACGGUACUGACGCUGAGACGCGAAAGCGUGGGGAGCAAACAGG
RNAcentral lists this ribosomal RNA (253 nucleotides) under uncultured bacterium. RNAcentral's name for it is "partial 16S ribosomal RNA". It matches the Rfam family "Bacterial small subunit ribosomal RNA", at positions 524 to 776 of the family's 1533-position model. The record is from RNAcentral.